Cicer arietinum (chickpea) is the source of this 1573-nucleotide non-coding RNA. Lineage: Eukaryota; Viridiplantae; Streptophyta; Magnoliopsida; Fabales; Fabaceae. The record is from RefSeq and is a predicted model, not a curated record.
AAGGUAGCCAUAUUUAGGUGAUAGAUGGCAUGAUUAGCUUAGGACAAUACCAUUUGCCUGGAACCUCAUUACAGCUGGUUACGUUGAACAAACUGUACAUGGGGUAGUUAUCAGCAUAAUUUGUCUUCUAUUCAUUGGCAAGCUGCUUGAACCAGUAUGGGGUCCCAGGGAAUUUCUAAGUUCAUCUUUAUAGUUAGCUUCUUAACUUCUGUGUGCAUUUUCAUCACCGCUAUUGCUUUAUACUACAUUACAAGACAGGAGAUUUAUCUGUAAGUGUUUGAAACCCAUUACCAUAUGAGAUUAUAUUUUCUGUUGCUUGUGCUGUUAUCUAUCGUAUCUUCUUCCCGUUUAAUAGAUUACCCUCUUUCCCAUAUCUUGCACUGCACUUUCAAACUCCAUUUUUCGAUUUGAAGCUUAAUACAGGACCAUUUGAAGUUUGAUUACUUGGUCUCUUUUUGCUUCAACACUAGAAAACAUUGUUGGUCAAGUAUUUAUGAAGCUAAAUUUAAAUAUUGAAAAUUUGCAACAAGCCUUGGAGUAAGUUAUAUAAUAUGCUAUCUUUCAAAGUCAUAUUAGAUGCUAUGCGUGCCAUUUGCACAGUAUUCUUUAUAUUUGCAAUGCUCUAGUUAUACACCAUUUUCUGGAUUUCAUGGAGUUAUAUCUGGCUUCUUGGUUAGCAUCAAACAAAUUAUACUAGAUCAAGAGAUUCCUUUCCUCAAGAUAAAAAUGAAGGUUUGAUGCUCUCACUCUGUUCCUUAACUUGUAGUUCAUUGCUUAAUUUACUUUACAGCAACAAUAGUUUUAAGAGGCCCUAAAUAUGGUGCCACUUCUAUUCUCUGUUUAGUGGCUACCAUCAACCACUUCUAUUCUUGCUGAUCACUACUGUUCUUACAGAACAUGAUUAUAUUUCUAAUAACUCUAUUUCUUUCAUCUUUUUUUGGGGUUGUGUCCUGUCAGAGGUUUUAUGAACAUUGAGGGGAGAUGCAGGUGGCACAAGAUUCCCCCCUAAAGCCAUCAAUGGAUUUAUUUGCUGUCGGAUGUGUAAUUGCUGAACUUUUCCUUGAGGGCCAACCACUAUUUGUAGUGUCUCAAGUUCUUGCGAAUCGCAGAGGACAUGAUCCAAGUCAACAACUUGAAAAAGUACUCUAUUUGUGUGUUUGUGUUUUAUUUCAUCUUCCCUUGGUCCCAUGCCCAUCAGAAGGGGGUUAACCAUACUCAUGACUGCCCAAUAAAGAGUAACCCUUUGAUUGAUUGCAUAUAAGAUAAACCAGCUUGAUAGCUAUAUUUGAUUGUUUAUGCUUCAUGGAAUUGCUAAGCAUUUUUUCUAAUGAAUUGCUAAGCAUUUGUUUCUAGUCAACAUGCUUCACAUAAACACGAACAUAAUUUUUUAUUAGGAGACAGCUCAGAGUUUGAUCUAGUUUUCAUUGGUCCAUGUAAUUCUUCAUGGAAGGCAUCAAAAUUUCAGUGGAUAUAACAUUGAUAACCCAUUUUUUUGUAAAUUUUUCAGUCUUCAGAACAUAAUUGUAUACGCAUAAGUAACACAAUAUGCAUCCAUCAAUUUCAUUGGUGAAAA